GCCAAGAUGCGUGACAACGCGGCCACGGACAACAGCCGAUCGACUGUCAGGAAACAACAAUGUUAACGAUCCAAUAGCUGUCUCUGCUCGAUCGUGUCAAACUAAAGUGAUUACUUUUUUCCACUGUGCUUCGUGGCACGCUAACAACAAAGCAACUGUUAUCUCUAAUCUAAUUUCAAUCUACCACAGUAUUACUUUUAGAAGUUCGUACUUUGUCUUGCAGUGUUUAUUAAUUUAGAAUUUUUCUAACGAAAAUGUACUGUCAUUUGCAAAAUGUUCAUAUCUUUUGAACGUAGAAUUAAUAAGUUAAUAUUUAUGAAGGAAAAAAUUAUUAUUACUAAUCGAGAAUUCAUGAAAUCUACAAAGAUCGAAGUUCUUGGUUGUUUUAGGUGGCAGUACUUCUUCGUUUAAAUAUAUUGGUACUUCGUGCGUGUACAUUGUACAUGUCUUGGAAAUAUAAAGUCGAAAAUUCAGUCAACACGACCUCAGUCUCGUCAACGCUGCUUUUCAGUGCUAAAGAGGUGAGUAAUUUAUUUGGUCGAAGAGUAUUAAUUAAUUUCUUGUGAAUAUUCAUCAUUUGGAUUUAACCUGUGCUUGAGAAUUUACAAACUUUUUAUCGAGUGAUCAGUGUUGCUCUUUUUUCUCUCGUAUGUCAAAAAUUCUCACGAAAGAUCUCAAGAUAAAACUUUCAUUUUUUCGCGUCAAACCUGAGCAAACCAUUGAGAUGAGACACAUCACUCCUUAUGGAUGCCUCGUUGGCACUGAAGAAGCAUCGGUCGAAAUGCUAUGAAUACAUAUAUACAUACACAUAUACACGAAUAACACAAAGUCAGAAGCUCAACUUAAAAGGCACGAAAGACAACGUAGGAAUAAUAAGGUAACCAAACCAUGCAACGAGAAAGAGAUUCGAACAUUGAUGAGAAGGAGACGAAUGGGGUUUAGUGGUUGUGAGCUUUCAUAUAUCUCUUUAUUUUUUUUGAAAUCAGUCGUACGCAGCGUCACAAUGUUCGAGGAAGAUUCUUCUUCAGUUUUGUCGACAAUUUUCAUGACCUUUGCAAAUGUCGACAAGUCGUGAAUAGACUCGUCCUCGAAACUGAAUUGAACGCGCGCGUAGCAACUUCGUUUUUCGGAUGCAGGAAUUGUUAUAUUAUGUGUUACACAUGAUAAUAAUGCAAAACGUCGUCAAACAGCAUCAACAGCUAUUCAACCGCUUAUACUCUACAAAACGAACUCGCAACCGUGAUUCCAGAACAUACUGACCGGGCAGCACGGAUAAAACAGAGCCGAGUUAAAAUGAUGUGAUUAAAGGCGAAACUAGACGGAGAGUUAGAGAAGAAGAAGAAGAAAUAGAAGAUGGAGAAGAGAAUAGAAAUUAGAGAGAAGGAAGGAAAUAUAUGAGUAAAUAAUUUGGUUAAUCCUACUGAGUUUUUUAGAUUAUUUUUAACCCAAAUCUAUGUUUCUAAAGUUUAAAUAUACAUCAAAAAAGUAAAUUUUAUUAUUCGACAAAAUUUCGCGUAUUAAAGCAUUUUCGUUUCUUGAGAUGAAAAUAAAGAUUGAAAUAUAAGAAUUAGAAGGACAGUAGUAUAGGAAUAAGAGGAACGCAGCGGGGUUAAUCUAGGAUAAUAGAAGAAAGACGGUGGCUUUCCGUUUCAAUUUUAUGUCAAAUAUCUUCGAACAAACAAGAAAGUUUUUUUGUUCAAUAAAAUAAAAAUUCGAGGAUCUUAGUAAGGGUAAGUCAGGGUAAUAGGGGAUGAAAUAGAGAUCUUGUAUAUAGAGAAACCACGUGAAAAGAGUUCUCGAAAUGUCCCGAAAUAUUUCGAAAUAUCUUCGAAAGAAAGUUAGGCAGAAGCCUUUAGGAAUCAGUUUCAGAAAUGCGGCUGGGAAAACACGGUUCUAAAUAUAAUGUCUCAUAAAAGUAUUCGAACGCUUGUAGAUACCUUUUAUGAAUACGUUAUGUGUGUUAUACGAAACAUAAAGAACAUUCACUAAUUUCUUUGUCUUAAUUCUAUGUAAUAUUUUUAAGCGUUAGGUAACAAUUAUAAUUUUACUAUAUAUAAUAAAUGUCCGUCAAUUCUGUCUGUGUUAAACUAUCAAAAUGUUUUACAUAACACACACAAUACACACAUAAGAAGAUUUCCAUGGUAAAUAUUCAAAUACUGUCAUGAACUACUAUAGAUUUUUAAUUACUCUUUUAAUAAAUGAUCAUAGGCAUAAAGCUCGAGGCUCGUAGAUGGUGUCACACAUUCACGCAAGCUCCACUCGGACGGACACGUGAAAUAGAAAGAAAGAAAGAAAGAAAGAACAGUGUAUAUGGAGAAGACCGUCGAUCGUUCGUUGUAUCAUCGAUCGAUUUCAUAUUGAAUGAUUAAGAGAGCAGCGAAUAUAGUCGAAGAAGAAAGUAUAGAAUGAGAGUGUAGAGUGAAGAGAACUGGGGGUUCAGUGCAGGGCACACGCUCGCGCACACGUACGUACAAACAUAUGUAUAAAACUUUUGGGAUGUGAUUUCACACGGGUCACAACAACGCAGAGAAUAUAUCAUAUCUAUGUAUACGUCUUCGUGUUUUUGUAUAACGAAAAAAUAUAUAUAUAGAUAGAUAAAGAUAGGUAGAAGAGGAUGCAUGUGUCUUGUCAUAGAUCGAGACAGCUAAAGCUUACUUUUUAUAAUUAACACAUUCACUGCUUUAUACUGAACGUGAGAUACCUUUCUUGUUAGGAAUAUUUUUAUUUUAAAUAAUAAUUAAUAUCUAUUUAACACACAUUUGUUUUCUGAAUAUUUUAUCAAAACAUACAGAAUAAACGUAUAAAACACGAAGAAUGAUACGAAGGUCACAGGGGGAAAAAUAUGAUAAGUAUAUUUUUAUUGAUUUCCUGCUUUUAACUUCGCUUUAUGAUCAAACGGAAGAAUUUUUAUAUGACAUAAUUGAAAAUGAGAACAACCUGUCAGAUCCAGAGAUGCAAGUCUUUUAAAAAUAACUAACGGCUUGAAGAAGGUAAUGGACAAGCAAUACUUUAAUCUCUUCAAUAUUGAAAUACAAUGACGAGCAUUAUUUUGAAAAUCUGUAAGAGGAUGAGAAAACACUUGUUCAACUCCAUAACCAAAUAUAUAUAGACAAUUUUGGUAACAUAGGAUUUAUUAACAACGUACUGAAUCGUAAAGAUUCUGUGUAAAAAGUAGGAAAUGUGACUUAUUACGUUUUUCCCCCGUAGUCUUCGUAUUAUUGUCAGAUAAUCGAAACGACGCAGCAUGUGCGUCAGUAGCAGUAGAGGAUAUUAAUCAGUCAUCUGAAUCUCCUUAAAUGCUCGAUAAACUCUAGCCGUCUCGCAAGACACGCGUUCUUCUCAGACGUAUACGUCAUUAGUAAAAGACAUUACGUAUCAUAUAUAUAUAAUAUGUCGUGGCUACCGAGUUUCACUGUAUUUGUUCCAAGUGUCUAAUCGAACACAAAAGAAAAAAGAAAGGAAUUGCACGUAACAUCAAAGUUGGGACGGACCAACGGGACGGACACGUUCAAGUAUUAUAAUUAAUUUAGAAUGAUUCUCUAAAGUAACGAGACGCGUUGGACGAAGGAGAAUCGUAAUACGUGAUCGUGCUGAACAAACUCACCUCUCGUUGAAGGUUUCUUGACGCGCGUAAUUUUGAAGACUGCCUUCGUCGAU
This is a long non-coding RNA of Bombus pyrosoma, 3657 nucleotides long. RefSeq lists it as uncharacterized. The transcript is spliced from 3 exons. Lineage: Eukaryota; Metazoa; Arthropoda; Insecta; Hymenoptera; Apidae. The record is from RefSeq and is a predicted model, not a curated record.